CUGCUCAAUGAUUUUUUAAAUUGCUGUAGUAUUUUGACUAUACAAAGGUAUUGAAAUAAGAUUUUAAUUGAAUGCUAAGAGAAUGGAAGUCCAGAAAAAAACUUUUUUUAAAUUAAAAAUUGAAGUUUUUUUAAUUUGUGCAGAAACAAUUAUUUAUAUUAAAGACAAGAAGACCCUAUGAAUUUAUUAAAUUUUUAUUUAAUAUGUAAUUACUAUUAGAAAAAUUUUGGCUGGGGCGGCUAGAAAAUAUUAUGAACUUUUUAAAAAUAAAAUGAUCCAUUAUUAAUGAUUUUAUGUUAAAUACUCUAGGGA
This 312-nucleotide ribosomal RNA is filed under the name Rhipicephalus sanguineus (brown dog tick). RNAcentral's name for it is "partial large subunit ribosomal RNA". Lineage: Eukaryota; Metazoa; Arthropoda; Arachnida; Ixodida; Ixodidae. The record is from RNAcentral.